GUCUCACCACGCGAGUGUGAACCCCCCGAGGCCGGUGGAGUAGCCUUUUAGGAGCUAGCCGUCGAAGGUGGGACAAAUGAUUGGGGUGAAGUCGUAACAAGGUAGCCGUAUCGGAAGGUGCGGCUGGAUCACCUCCUUUCUAAGGA
Molecule: ribosomal RNA, 146 nt
Filed under: Staphylococcus aureus
Lineage: Bacteria; Bacillati; Bacillota; Bacilli; Caryophanales; Staphylococcaceae
Description: partial 16S ribosomal RNA
Rfam family: Bacterial small subunit ribosomal RNA
Source: RNAcentral